Molecule: long non-coding RNA, 342 nt
Filed under: Phasianus colchicus (ring-necked pheasant)
Lineage: Eukaryota; Metazoa; Chordata; Aves; Galliformes; Phasianidae
Description: lncRNA (ENSPCLG00000008810.1)
Source: RNAcentral
ACCAUGUGAGAUCUUACACAAGUGCUGUUAAUUUAAAUGAUUUUAAUAUGCUUUUUAUUGUCUAUUUUAGGCAAAACUGAAAAUCCAGAGGAAGAGGUUGCAAUCUACAGGAAGCUGAACUGCAAACUUGUUGAUGGCUUUGAAUUGUUCUGAGCCAUUCAAGCAUAUAGCAAGUAGCUCUCUACCUGCUUGGCACUUCCGUUUGAGCCAUUUCAAAGACAGGCUAUAAUUCUUACAAGGCAGAUGGGUUGGCUGUAGAAGAGGAAUUAAAAAAAAAAAAAAAAAAUGGCUAGAGGGACUGGAAACUGCCUGAAAAUACUAGUACAGUUUCAACACCUUUUU